This is a small nuclear RNA of Jaculus jaculus (lesser Egyptian jerboa), 106 nucleotides long. The record is from Ensembl. NCBI's taxonomy places the organism in Eukaryota, Metazoa, Chordata, Mammalia, Rodentia, Dipodidae.
GCGCUCGCUUCGGAAGCACACGUACUAAAAUCAGAACGAUGCACAGAAGAUUAGCAUGGUCCGGAAUGAGGGUGACACACAAAUUCGUGAAGUGUUCUGUAUUUUU